RNAcentral lists this ribosomal RNA (550 nucleotides) under uncultured bacterium. RNAcentral describes it as "bacterial SSU rRNA". It matches the Rfam family "Bacterial small subunit ribosomal RNA", at positions 355 to 896 of the family's 1533-position model. The record is from RNAcentral.
UAGGGAAUCUUCGGCAAUGGACGGAAGUCUGACCGAGCAACGCCGCGUGAGUGAAGAAGGUUUUCGGAUCGUAAAGCUCUGUUGUAAGAGAAGAACGAGUGUGAGAAUGGAAAGUUCACACUGUGACGGUAUCUUACCAGAAAGGGACGGCUAACUACGUGCCAGCAGCCGCGGUAAUACGUAGGUCCCGAGCGUUAUCCGGAUUUAUUGGGCGUAAAGCGAGCGCAGGCGGUUAGAUAAGUCUGAAGUUAAAGGCUGUGGCUUAACCAUAGUACGCUUUGGAAACUGUUUAACUUGAGUGCAGAAGGGGAGAGUGGAAUUCCAUGUGUAGCGGUGAAAUGCGUAGAUAUAUGGAGGAACACCGGUGGCGAAAGCGGCUCUCUGGUCUGUAACUGACGCUGAGGCUCGAAAGCGUGGGGAGCAAACAGGAUUAGAUACCCUGGUAGUCCACGCCGUAAACGAUGAGUGCUAGGUGUUGGGUCCUUUCCGGGACUCAGUGCCGCAGCUAACGCAUUAAGCACUCCGCCUGGGGAGUACGACCGCAAGGUUG